RNAcentral lists this transfer RNA (77 nucleotides) under Acidobacteriota bacterium. RNAcentral's name for it is "tRNA-Ala". It matches the Rfam family "tRNA". From Rfam's summary of the family: Transfer RNA (tRNA) molecules are approximately 80 nucleotides in length. The record is from RNAcentral. Lineage: Bacteria; Pseudomonadati; Acidobacteriota. RNAcentral also lists the same sequence under 2 other names.
GGGGCAGUAGCUCAGUUUGGCAGAGCGCAGCGUUCGCAAUGCUGAGGUCAGGGGUUCGACCCCCCUCUGCUCCACCA